ACAUAGGACAGAACAUCUGACAUUAGAGCAGAACAUCUGACCUAGAGCAGAACAUCUGACAUUAGAGCAGAACAUCUGGCUCUGUAUGUUCACAGUCAUGUGCUAUCGUUAAUUGAUUGAUAUUGAUUGACAGUAACAAUCAGUAUCAGUAUCAAACUGGCACCCUGCUGGUCUGAGGGCCACCAGCUGUGUGUGUGUCUGUGUGUGUGUGUGUUUGUCUGAGUACAUUCCUCCAUUAGCAAUGAGUGUGUGUGUUCAUGUGUGUGUUAUGGUAAAGCAGCCCACCUAAAAACAAGUGUCAUCUCCUGUAGGUCUGCUACACACACACACACACACACACACACACACACACACACACACACAGACGUUCGGUGCUGAUUAAUCAUGUCUGGAGGAUUUACAGGUGUUGACACACACCCGCACACUGUGGCCUCACACACAAACACACACGCUUCCUUUCAUGGUCAUCGUUAACGUGGAAAAGUCCCUGUAAGCGACGACGUCAUCCUCUGUCAGGCUGGUGAGCGAUGUCUGAUGCUAACGUUAGCUCAGCAGAGUGUUUCAGUGUCUCUCAUUGUCUCAUUGGACUGGAUGACAAGACAAAAAGCACAAGGGAGACACACGACUCAACCACUGAUACGACGUGUCGUUCAGUCUGGACAUUAAUCCUCUAUGAAGGAUGUUAGUGGUGAUAAAGCGUCUCCGGCUUGGUGCUUUUAUGAAAGUCUUAUUAUUGCGCCAGAUGUUGAUAAAUAACUGAAUUAUUUUGUUUUUUACUCUUUAAAUGAAUAAAACAGGACCUUCACCUGCCGACUGGUCGAGGAGAGCGGCGCAGACAGGAAGUGAUGUCGUGACUUCUGUGUGUCAUCAGAUGAGUGAGAUCUCAUCAACGUGCCUCCACCUCGCUGGUGCCGGCAGAUGUAAGUCCAGGUGUGUGAUCGCCGCGGUUACUCAUCAAACACGCACUGGGACAGGAAGUCCGCCUCGUGUGUGAGAACAUGAAAAAUGAAUAAAAGAAAAAGAUGAACAAUUUGUACGACAGAAAUGAUUCAAACAAGUAAACCAGAUGUAGACAGGACCACUUCACAUCACAUAGAACCACAUCACAUAGAACCGCCAUCACCACCAUCACAUAGAACCGCCAUCACCACCAUCACAUAGAACCACCAUCACAAAUAACCACCAUCACAUAGAAACACCAUCACAUAGAACAACCAUCACAUAGAACCGCCAUCACAUAGAACCACCAUCACAGAACAACCAUCACAUAGAACCACCAUCACAUAGAACCACCAUCACAUAGAACCGCCAGCACAUAGAACAACCAUCACAUAGCACAACCAUCACAUAGAACCGCCAUCACAUAGAACCACCAUCACAUAGAACCGCCAUCACAUAGAACCACCAUCACAUAGAACCGCCAUGACCACCAUCACAUAGAACCACCAUCACAGAACCACCAUCACAUAGAACCACCAUCACAUAGAACCGCCAGCACAUAGAAUCACCGCCACAUAGAACCAUCAUCACAUAGAACCACCAUCACAUAGAACCGCCAUCACAUAUAACCGCCAUCACAUAGAGCCGCCAUCACAUAGAA
Gasterosteus aculeatus aculeatus (three-spined stickleback) is the source of this 1600-nucleotide long non-coding RNA. The record is from Ensembl. NCBI's taxonomy places the organism in Eukaryota, Metazoa, Chordata, Actinopteri, Perciformes, Gasterosteidae.